UACGGGGGGGGCAAGCGUUGUUCGGAAUUACUGGGCGUAAAGGGCUCGUAGGCGGCCAACUAAGUCAUACGUGAAAUCCCUCGGCUUAACCGGGGAACUGCGUCUGAUACUGGAUGGCUUGAGUUCGGGAGAGGGAUGCGGAAUUCCAGGUGUAGCGGUGAAAUGCGUAGAUAUCUGGAGGAACACCUGUGGUGUAGACAGCUUACUGGACCAUUUCUGACGCUGAGACACGAAAGCGUGGGUAGCAAACAGG
This 253-nucleotide ribosomal RNA is filed under the name uncultured bacterium. RNAcentral's name for it is "partial 16S ribosomal RNA". It matches the Rfam family "Bacterial small subunit ribosomal RNA", at positions 524 to 776 of the family's 1533-position model. The record is from RNAcentral.